Molecule: ribosomal RNA, 114 nt
Filed under: uncultured bacterium
Lineage: Bacteria
Description: partial 16S ribosomal RNA
Rfam family: Bacterial small subunit ribosomal RNA
Source: RNAcentral
CGGUGAAUACGUUCCCGGACCUUGUACACACCGCCCGUCAAGCCAUGGAAGCUGGGUGUACCUAAAGUCGAUAGCCGUAAGGAGUCGCCUAGGGUAAAACUAGUAACUGGGGCU